Molecule: unclassified non-coding RNA, 265 nt
Filed under: uncultured Pleosporales
Lineage: Eukaryota; Fungi; Ascomycota; Dothideomycetes; Pleosporales
Description: sequence contains 5.8S rRNA gene, ITS2, 28S rRNA gene
Source: RNAcentral
AACGCACAUUGCGCCCCUUGGUAUUCCAUGGGGCAUGCCUGUUCGAGCGUCAUUGACACCCUCAAGCUCUGCUUGGUGUUGGGGCCGUUGUCGUUUCCUCGCCCCCCAGCGACACAGCGACACCCCUCAAAGUCAUUGGCGGCCUUUCUGCCCAGCUUCCCGCGCAGCAGUUCGCGCUUCGGAGACUACUUUGGCAGGCUGGCAUCCAUCAAGCUGACCCUUCAUGCUUGACCUCGGAUCAGGUAGGGAUACCCGCUGAACUUAA